GGGAUUGUGGCUCAGUGGCAGAGCCUUUGCCUUACAAAUAUGAGACCCUGGGUUCAAUCCUCAGCACCA
This 69-nucleotide transfer RNA is filed under the name Ictidomys tridecemlineatus (thirteen-lined ground squirrel). RNAcentral describes it as "Spermophilus tridecemlineatus (thirteen-lined ground squirrel) tRNA". It matches the Rfam family "tRNA". From Rfam's summary of the family: Transfer RNA (tRNA) molecules are approximately 80 nucleotides in length. Their secondary structure includes four short double-helical elements and three loops (D, anti-codon, and T loops). The record is from Rfam by way of RNAcentral. Lineage: Eukaryota; Metazoa; Chordata; Mammalia; Rodentia; Sciuridae.